This 401-nucleotide ribosomal RNA is filed under the name uncultured bacterium. RNAcentral describes it as "bacterial SSU rRNA". It matches the Rfam family "Bacterial small subunit ribosomal RNA", at positions 109 to 507 of the family's 1533-position model. The record is from RNAcentral.
AGUAAUAUAUCGGAACGUGCCCAGUCGUGGGGGAUAACGUAGCGAAAGCUACGCUAAUACCGCAUACGAUCUAUGGAUGAAAGCGGGGGAUCGCAAGACCUCGCGCGAUUGGAGCGGCCGAUAUCAGAUUAGGUAGUUGGUGAGGUAAAGGCUCACCAAGCCGACGAUCUGUAGCUGGUCUGAGAGGACGACCAGCCACACUGGAACUGAGACACGGUCCAGACUCCUACGGGAGGCAGCAGUGGGGAAUUUUGGACAAUGGACGCAAGUCUGAUCCAGCCAUUCCGCGUGCAGGAUGAAGGCCCUCGGGUUGUAAACUGCUUUGUACGGAACGAAAAGGUUUCUCUUAAUACGAGGAGCUCAUGACGGUACCGUAAGAAUAAGCACCGGCUAACUACGUG